Molecule: long non-coding RNA, 211 nt
Filed under: Solanum tuberosum (potato)
Lineage: Eukaryota; Viridiplantae; Streptophyta; Magnoliopsida; Solanales; Solanaceae
Description: long non-coding RNA (STUB_LNC008930)
Source: RNAcentral
GCCUUGUUGCUACUUGCUGGAUCAAGGAGGUAAUCAACAAGAAAAGAAUUAUCAACAUAGAUUUAGUGUGAUACUAUCUAAUAGGCUAGUGUCGAUUGGUGCGAAGUAAUAACUAAGUCAAACAUCGAUUAUGAUGUCUAAUAUGAGGUAAAGGUAAGGGUUAGUAAAUUAUACACACGUAGCCGGAUCAAGGUGCGGGGUGAAAUUCUUU